GAGGGUAUAGCUUAAUGGUAGGGUUCCUGCUAAGCAUGCAUUAGGUCCUGGGUUCAAUCCCCAGUACCUCCA
RNAcentral lists this transfer RNA (72 nucleotides) under Camelus bactrianus (Bactrian camel). It matches the Rfam family "tRNA". Rfam says of the family: Transfer RNA (tRNA) molecules are approximately 80 nucleotides in length. Their secondary structure includes four short double-helical elements and three loops (D, anti-codon, and T loops). RNAcentral also lists the same sequence under 2 other names. The record is from Rfam by way of RNAcentral. Lineage: Eukaryota; Metazoa; Chordata; Mammalia; Artiodactyla; Camelidae.